UACGGAGGGGGCGAGCGUUGUCCGAAGUUACUGGGCGUAAAGCGCGUGUAGGCGGGUUGCCAAGGCCGCUGUGAAAGCCCGAGGCUCAACCUCGGAGGGUCGGUGGAUACUGGCAGUCUUGAAGGUGCUAGGGGGAGAUGGAAUUACCGGUGUAGCGGUGAAAUGCGCAGAUAUCAGGAAGAACACCCGUGGCGAAGGCGGCUCUCUGGGACGGUACUGACGCUGAGACGCGAAAGCGUGGGGAGCGAACAGG
RNAcentral lists this ribosomal RNA (253 nucleotides) under uncultured bacterium. RNAcentral describes it as "partial 16S ribosomal RNA". It matches the Rfam family "Bacterial small subunit ribosomal RNA", at positions 524 to 776 of the family's 1533-position model. The record is from RNAcentral.